RNAcentral lists this long non-coding RNA (950 nucleotides) under Homo sapiens (human). RNAcentral describes it as "PCBP1 antisense RNA 1". Lineage: Eukaryota; Metazoa; Chordata; Mammalia; Primates; Hominidae. The record is from RNAcentral.
CUCUUCCGGGGGGGAGGGGCGGCGAGGCGAGGCCUGCGGAGCGGAGGAAGACAAACAUAAAGAUGAAGUGCUUAAUUCAAGGUCACACAAUGUCGGGGAUGGACCUCCAGAUUUCCUUACUGACCUGCAUUAUCUUGUGGAUACCUGAGUGAAUUCCACACCACCCAUUUUAUAGAUGAAACCACUGAGACAUGGAGCAAUUGACUGAGUAGUCACUGCCCCACCCCUGCCUGGAGCCUCACACAUGACUCGCCUCCUCUCAGUGACCACAGGUCACAGAAUUUUCCACACUCCUUGACAGAGGUGCUUAACCCUUAUCCAUCAGCAUUCUCAGACAGCACCUCCGGUUAGGGACAGUAUCUGACCGUCCGACAUCCCUGCAGCCCCCAUGUGUCACACAGACUCAGCCUCAGGUAGAUGGUUUCCGUAGAUGGUGGCUUUCUUUGGACCCUUGACAUCAACCAGUUACUAUUUGGUCUAGGGGUCUCACCAACGCUGCUCAUCUAGCAGGGCCACACAUAACAAAUAGAAGCAGAGCAAGCCCUGGAACUCCUGCCUGACAGUGACACGACGACAGAAACAUCUUACCAGUCAGAGGACCAUGAGAAAUAGAUUCAAGGAGCAUUCCACGUGCAAGUGAGUCUUGGCCCCAUCUGCCUUUGGAUUUUAGCCGUGAACUGGAAGGUAUUGGAAAGAAGACCCUCAGAAAUAGCUUAAUCAAAAUCCCUGCGUCUGAACCAAGUGCCUUAUUUCUCUGUGGGCCUCAAGCUUCGCUGACAUCUGUGGAGCACACUGUCCUAACAGGAGUGCUGUCUGAUUUCCCAACGCUCUGCAAAACAAACAGCCUGGAAGGGUGGCUGGUGGAAGGUGGUUUUUAGAGAGAGACUUGUAGAUAACAGGAAAGUGAAGGCUGUAAGGAAGGUUGUAAUUAAACAGCACAUGGAAACACA